This 1091-nucleotide ribosomal RNA is filed under the name Nocardia sp. Its description in RNAcentral is "bacterial SSU rRNA". It matches the Rfam family "Bacterial small subunit ribosomal RNA", at positions 319 to 1421 of the family's 1533-position model. Lineage: Bacteria; Bacillati; Actinomycetota; Actinomycetes; Mycobacteriales; Nocardiaceae. The record is from RNAcentral.
CUGAGACACGGCCCAGACUCCUACGGGAGGCAGCAGUGGGGAAUAUUGCACAAUGGGCGAAAGCCUGAUGCAGCGACGCCGCGUGAGGGAUGACGGCCUUCGGGUUGUAAACCUCUUUCGACAGGGACGAAGCGCAAGUGACGGUACCUGUAGAAGAAGCACCGGCCAACUACGUGCCAGCAGCCGCGGUAAUACGUAGGGUGCGAGCGUUGUCCGGAAUUACUGGGCGUAAAGAGCUUGUAGGCGGUUCGUCGCGUCGAUUGUGAAAACUUGCAGCUCAACUGCAAGCUUGCAGUCGAUACGGGCGGACUAGAGUACUUCAGGGGAGACUGGAAUUCCUGGUGUAGCGGUGAAAUGCGCAGAUAUCAGGAGGAACACCGGUGGCGAAGGCGGGUCUCUGGGAAGUAACUGACGCUGAGAAGCGAAAGCGUGGGUAGCGAACAGGAUUAGAUACCCUGGUAGUCCACGCCGUAAACGGUGGGUACUAGGUGUGGGUUUCCUUCCACGGGAUCCGUGCCGUAGCUAACGCAUUAAGUACCCCGCCUGGGGAGUACGGCCGCAAGGCUAAAACUCAAAGGAAUUGACGGGGGCCCGCACAAGCGGCGGAGCAUGUGGAUUAAUUCGAUGCAACGCGAAGAACCUUACCUGGGUUUGACAUACACCAGAAAGCCGUAGAGAUACGGCCCCCCUUGUGGUUGGUGUACAGGUGGUGCAUGGCUGUCGUCAGCUCGUGUCGUGAGAUGUUGGGUUAAGUCCCGCAACGAGCGCAACCCUUAUCUUAUGUUGCCAGCGCGUAAUGGCGGGGACUCGUGAGAGACUGCCGGGGUCAACUCGGAGGAAGGUGGGGACGACGUCAAGUCAUCAUGCCCCUUAUGUCCAGGGCUUCACACAUGCUACAAUGGCCGGUACAGAGGGCUGCGAUACCGUGAGGUGGAGCGAAUCCCUUAAAGCCGGUCUCAGUUCGGAUCGGGGUCUGCAACUCGACCCCGUGAAGUUGGAGUCGCUAGUAAUCGCAGAUCAGCAACGCUGCGGUGAAUACGUUCCCGGGCCUUGUACACACCGCCCGUCACGUCAUGAAAGUCGGUAACACC